Molecule: transfer RNA, 72 nt
Filed under: Catenibacterium mitsuokai
Lineage: Bacteria; Bacillati; Bacillota; Erysipelotrichia; Erysipelotrichales; Coprobacillaceae
Also listed under: 2 other names
Description: tRNA-Asp
Rfam family: tRNA
About the family: Transfer RNA (tRNA) molecules are approximately 80 nucleotides in length. Their secondary structure includes four short double-helical elements and three loops (D, anti-codon, and T loops). Further hydrogen bonds mediate the characteristic L-shaped molecular structure. tRNAs have two regions of fundamental functional importance: the anti-codon, which is responsible for specific mRNA codon recognition, and the 3' end, to which the tRNAs corresponding amino acid is attached (by aminoacyl-tRNA synthetases). tRNAs cope with the degeneracy of the genetic code in two manners: having more than one tRNA (with a specific anti-codon) for a particular amino acid; and 'wobble' base-pairing, i.e. permitting non-standard base-pairing at the 3rd anti-codon position.
Source: RNAcentral
GGUCUUAUAGGGUAGUGGUUAUCCUUCCAGCUUGUCACGCUGGAGACACGAGUUCGAUUCUCGUUAAGACCG